AUGAUUAAAUACAAAAGUAAUUCCUUCCCACCUCCGCACCCCUGCUUUAUUGCAGGAGAGCCCACGCAACAAAUAAUGGCUUUAAAUAAUGGCUUUCUUCCCCGGGAGCAGACUCUGGAGAGGAGUUUCCUGGUGCUGUGCUCCUGCCCACCCUCUGAUGCUGCAAGUGGAUGCCAGCCGAGCGUGCUCUGUGAUGAACUGAGCUGUGCUGUGCUUAAUAAAGAGGAUGAAGACGUGUCACCCUUUGCAAACUCCUCCCCUCCAGCUCACGGAUUUGAGGGCCCCCUGACGCCAGGACGUCACUCUGGAAGGGUUCCUAUUGUGGAAACUUUCUCACCAGCUGCUUUGUGAUGUGCCGCACAAGCACAAGGCCCUUUUGCUGUAAUUAAGCUCUGGCUGUUCUUUCAGGGCUGCAAUUCAAAGAAAUACAUCACUUUCAAGUCAGACGAGCAGCUUGACAGCGGAUCGGGGAGGAACAACUCUGCUCCAUGAGAGCCUUGGCCGUGCUGUGCUGCGCUCUGCUGUGCCAUGCAGCAGUGCGUCCUCACACAGCCUCAGAGCUCCCUGUUGCUGCAGAGCACAUCCCCACACCCGUCUGAUGGUUACCUGCAGGGGAUGGGACACGUUUAACUGGUAGAGAAGCUCUGUGCACGGCAGCUGUUUGGUAUUAACUCGGUGCAUCGAAUAGGCAUGAAAUUGAAUCCAGUGGCGCUGGGUGAGCUGGCAGCAACAUGGGCAUGGAAAAUGCCCCCAUCCUCUGUCUCCUCGGGGCCACCAGCAAUGGAUGAGCCCAGCAGCUCCGUGCAUCCCUCUGCUAGGCUGCAGCAGCUGUGCAGGGUAAGGAGCUGCCCCUCUGCACCUCUGCAGUGGCACUAAGAAGAGUGAAGUAUCAAAGCAGAGCAUUUCCAGAGGCAACUGGGAUGGAGGCGCAGGGGGAAGGCAGCUUAUUUGUUUGGAAAGAAUCUUAUAUGCCCUGUUCGUAAUUAGGAAGCAUUAUAAAUGUGAUUCCCUGACUUCCCUGAGAGUGAAGAAGGAGACCACAAAGCGUCUCCCUGCUACCAGAGCCUGUUGCUGCUUCUGCACUGGGGGAGGAUGGGGACCUGGGAGCCAGUCCCAGUGCCAACCAUGGGAUUGAACAUCCCUGUCCUGGUGACCCAUGUAGGGAAGCACAUGAGCUCACAGCUUGCAGUUCCCCAUCCCUUAGGGAAGGGACAUGUCAAGGCAGGAGCCUCUGACAGUACAGGAACAGCCAGGCCAGCAUCCAUUAAUGCCGCAGUCAGCAACAGGAUGGAUGUGGACACUGUCAGUCUUGAAUUAUGGGCAUCUUGCAAAGGAAGGAGCUCUUUAUAGA
Molecule: long non-coding RNA, 1351 nt
Filed under: Phasianus colchicus (ring-necked pheasant)
Lineage: Eukaryota; Metazoa; Chordata; Aves; Galliformes; Phasianidae
Description: lncRNA (ENSPCLG00000006194.1)
Source: RNAcentral